RNAcentral lists this ribosomal RNA (497 nucleotides) under uncultured bacterium. Its description in RNAcentral is "partial 16S ribosomal RNA". It matches the Rfam family "Bacterial small subunit ribosomal RNA", at positions 28 to 507 of the family's 1533-position model. The record is from RNAcentral.
GAUGAACGCUGGCGGCGUGCCUAAUACAUGCAAGUCGAACGAACAGAUGAGGAGCUUGCUCCUCUGACGUUAGCGGCGGACGGGUGAGUAACACGUGUAUACCCUACCUAUAAGACUGGGAUAACUUCGGGAAACCGGAGCUAAUACCGGAUAAUAUAUUGAACCGCAUGGUUCAAUAGUGAAAGACGGUUUUGCUGUCACUUAUAGAUGGAUCCGCGCCGCAUUGGCUAGUUGGUAAGGUAACGGCUUACCACGGCGACGAUGCGUAGCCGACCUGAGAGGGUGAUCGGCCACACUGGAACUGAGACACGGUCCAGACUCCUACGGGAGGCAGCAGUAGGGAAUCUUACGCAAUGGGCGAAAGCCUGACGGAGCAACGCCGCGUGAGUGAUGAAGGUCUUCGGAUCGUAAAACUCUGUUAUUAGGGAAGAACAAAUGUGUAAGUAACUAUGCACGUCUUGACGGUACCUAAUAAGAAAGCCACGGCUAACUACGUG